AGCAGCCGCGGUAAUUCCAGCUCCAAUAGCGUAUAUUAAAGUUGUUGCAGUUAAAAAGCUCGUAGUUGAAUUUCGGGGUUAGUAGAUUGGUCGUGCCACUGGUAUGUACUGGUCUUACUGAUUCCUCCUUCCUGAUGAACCGUAAUGCCAUUAAUUUGGUGUUGCGGGGAGACUGGACUGUUACUUUGAAAAAAUUAGAGUGUUUAAAGCAGGCUAACGCUUGAAUGCAUUAGCAUGGAAUAAUGAAAUAGGACGUUCGAUCCUAUUUUGUUGGUUUCUAGGAUUGACGUAAUGAUUAAUAGGGAUAGUUGGGGGCAUUAGUAUUCAAUUGUCAGAGGUGAAAUUCUUGGAUUUAUUGAAGACUAACUACUGCGAAAGCAUUUGCCAAGGAUGUUUUCAUUAAUCAAGAACGAAAGUUAGGGGAUCGAAGACGAUCAGAUACCGUCGUAG
This 450-nucleotide ribosomal RNA is filed under the name uncultured Glomeromycotina. RNAcentral's name for it is "SSU rRNA". It matches the Rfam family "Eukaryotic small subunit ribosomal RNA", at positions 569 to 1023 of the family's 1831-position model. The record is from RNAcentral. Lineage: Eukaryota; Fungi; Glomeromycota.